RNAcentral lists this long non-coding RNA (673 nucleotides) under Bos taurus (domestic cattle). RNAcentral's name for it is "long non-coding RNA NONBTAT011710". Lineage: Eukaryota; Metazoa; Chordata; Mammalia; Artiodactyla; Bovidae. The record is from RNAcentral.
GACUUUUCACCCAUCAAGCCCGGUAGCCUUAGGUACUUCUGCUUUAAUUCCAGAAUUUUCUUCUUAAAACAUGUGAAUUUAAAUGAUUAUGUUCAUUCCUAGAAGCAAAUAGCCUAACUUUUUUGACUGGACAGAUUUUAACUUUCUAAACUCUUCCCUUUUAUCACUUUUAAACAAGAGCUUGGUUGAUUUUAAUGACCUUUUCCUCCCCUUGGUUUUAUCUUGAAAGCUAUUUCUUAUAGAGCAAGAAAUGUUAAAUUUGAUGCUGUCAAAUCAUGACAGUUUAGUAAAAACCUUUUUGCAACAUUAGUUGUAAAAGCUUUUCUGUUCAGAAGGAAUGUGAAAUUUGUUUUUUAAACUACUCCAAGAAUUUUUGUUUUAUCACCACUUCUGCUGAAGUUUAGGAGUUCUGGAUAUUCAUGUUAAGAGUUGACAAAUGUGAGGGAGAUCACUUGCUUUUUAAAAAAGAAAUUAUAUAUUUCUUUCCUUCUGUAAAGCUGUGGGGUAUUUUGUUUUCAAUUUCCAUAGUCCGAUUCAAAUAAGGUGGCAUUAUAGUGUUAUCCUAUGAGUAAAAAGAGAAUGUUACCUUGCAUACAUUGAAUAAAGUUUUGCUUUCUUACAAUCAACAGCUUAAGACUUGAGCUAUUUUUCUAAACAUAGUCAAAACAGAAUA